This 502-nucleotide ribosomal RNA is filed under the name uncultured Pseudomonadota bacterium. Its description in RNAcentral is "bacterial SSU rRNA". It matches the Rfam family "Bacterial small subunit ribosomal RNA", at positions 376 to 896 of the family's 1533-position model. Lineage: Bacteria; Pseudomonadati; Pseudomonadota. The record is from RNAcentral.
CGCAAGCCUGAUCCAGCAAUGCCGCGUGGGUGAAGAAGGUCUUCGGAUCGUAAAGCCCUUUCGACAGGGACGAUGAUGACGGUACCUGUAGAAGAAGCCCCGGCUAACUUCGUGCCAGCAGCCGCGGUAAUACGAAGGGGGCUAGCGUUACUCGGAAUUACUGGGCGUAAGGGCGCGUAGGCGGCUUGGCCAGUCAGGCGUGAAAUUCCUGGGCUUAACCUGGGGACUGCGCUUGAUACUGCUGAGCUUGAGGCCGAGAGAGGGUGGUGGAAUUCCCAGUGUAGAGGUGAAAUUCGUAGAUAUUGGGAAGAACACCGGUGGCGAAGGCGACCACCUGGCUCGGUACUGACGCUGAGGCGCGACAGCGUGGGGAGCAAACAGGAUUAGAUACCCUGGUAGUCCACGCCGUAAACGAUGUGUGCUGGAUGUUGGGGUCCCUAGGAUCUCAGUGUCGUAGCCAACGCGGUAAGCACACCGCCUGGGGAGUACGGCCGCAAGGUUG